CUGCAAGUUGUCCUACGAACUCUACAUAUGUGUUAUGGCAGAUGCACUCGCAUACAUGCCUAAGUGCACACGCAUGUACACGUACACACACACGUAAUAGUUAAUCUUUUUAAAUUGUCUAUUCUAUCUUUAAUGUCAUGCUCAUGAAACUGUCAAGUGUUUAAUAACAGUUAAAGAAGGACAGGAAACACCCACAGCUGAUCCCUGAAAACCUACACUCCCCUCUCCUCUCCAGACUGAACCAAGAAUGCAACUUAAAAACCAUGAGCCUCCGCCCAGCAGCCUCCAUGCCCUUGGAGACACUUCCAGUAGGCUCCCGUCUGUCCUCACUUUGUGCUGGACUCUAGGCACUGGCCUCUGCGUCUGAGUUUCUAAACACUCCUUCCGAUCACACUCUUGCCCUUCCACCGAGGUAGGCAAACACCCCCUGCAAAUCCCCUUGUGCCUACUUCUUACCCUCCAGCCCUGCUUCUGCCCCCAGAUAACUCUCUUUAGAUUCUCUCCCCUUUGACCACCAUCUAAGAUCAUUAUCUAGCCCUUAGCCUGCAUUGUUUAUCCGGCUCUGACAUCUUACCUCUUUAAUCAUAACCUUUCCCUCCCACUGGAAUAAAAGUCCUAUGCUGCUGGCAGCCCCAACAACGUCAGCAGGGACGUGCAGUCAAUAUUUGCUUAGUGAGCUAAAUGUGGGAAAGAAGGUAGUGUGACAUGAGACAGUGCAGAACAGGAAACAGAAGUAAGCCAAUGAAACCUUCCCUUGUGCCCACACUGUCAUUUCUAUCAAGGGUCCUUCAGGGAUUAAGAUGUAGCUCCCAGCUGCUGCCCCAGCACCUGCCUGCAUGCUGCCAUGCUCCCAACCCCAUGACUGUGAUGGACUAAACCUCUGAAACUUUGCCUGUGAUUCCAGCUCCAGAAUCGGUUCUGACACUCUCACGGGGCCACUGGCACCAGACAUUCAUGUGUUCCUCAGCUGGAGUUGCAUAGUCCAAGGACAGAGCCUGGUGUGGCAUGGGCUGGCUCAAACUUGCUGCACAGCUGACGUUGACUGGCCAUGAACUCCGGAGCCCCCUGUCUCUGUUUCCAGACUUCAGAGAUUACUGCCCGCAAUAGCAGCUACAGAAGUGAAUAUACACUCAUGUGCAAAUGUUCUUACUUGUUGAAGAACAAAUAAGGGGGAGGGAGUGGAGGGAAAGUCUUGGGCAACCAAGAUGACCUUGAGAGUUGAGGCUGACCUUGAGCUCCUUAACCUCUUGCCUCUGACUUCCAAAGUCUUAUGUGGCCCUGAGGAUCGAGCCAAGGAUGCAAGCAUGCUGGGGGAACACUUUAUCAACUGAGCUACAUCCCUACAUUCAAUAUAUUUAUUUUUGCUGAAGCAAUUUGCUGUUGAGCUAUCUAGCAUGUAAUUCCUAUUUCCUCAAUAAACAGAAUCCAAUACCUAUUUUUGCAGAAUUCAAUAAUGUAUAUAGA
Molecule: long non-coding RNA, 1464 nt
Organism: Mus musculus (house mouse)
Lineage: Eukaryota; Metazoa; Chordata; Mammalia; Rodentia; Muridae
Product: predicted gene, 38942
Exons: 4
Source: RefSeq, a predicted model, not a curated record